This 433-nucleotide ribosomal RNA is filed under the name uncultured bacterium. Its description in RNAcentral is "partial 16S ribosomal RNA". It matches the Rfam family "Bacterial small subunit ribosomal RNA", at positions 29 to 507 of the family's 1533-position model. The record is from RNAcentral.
AACGAACGCUGGCGGCAUGCCUAACACAUGCAAGUCGAACGAGACCUACGGGUCUAGUGGCGCACGGGUGCGUAACGCGUGGGAACCUGCCUUUAGGUUCGGAAUAACUCAGAGAAAUUUGAGCUAAUACCGGAUGAUGUCUUCGGCCCAAAGAUUUAUCGCCUUUAGAUGGGCCCGCGUUGGAUUAGCUAGUUGGUGGGGUAAAGGCCUACCAAGGCGACGAUCCAUAGCUGGUCUGAGAGGAUGAUCAGCCACACUGGGACUGAGACACGGCCCAGACACCUACGGGAGGCAGCAGUGGGGAAGAUUGGACAAUGGGCGAAAGCCUGAUCCAGCAAUGCCGCGUGAGUGAUGAAGGCCUUAGGGUUGUAAAGCCCUUUUACCCGAGAUGAUAAUGACAGUAUCGGGAGAAUAAGCUCCGGCUAACUCCGUG